CUCGUAAUAGGCCAGAAUAUUUAAAUAUAAUUUCAUCUGACAUAUUUUUUAAAUUACUUUUUCACAUUGAUUUACAUUCGGCUUUGUUAUAAAUGUUUCCUAUUCUUAUUGGGGUACAGAAAUUUCCGAAUGCCAUCUGGGAAUCUGCUGUUAAAUAAGGGGCAUGUCAUCGAGUAUCAACCAUAAUUUCGAUAAGCUGACAAGCAGCGCAAAUUACACACUUGGCUCCAGCGAUAAGCGUAAAUCACGCAAAUGACAAGUGGCAAUAACAUUGGAGGGGCAUAAAAUGAAACCUGAACCCAAGCAUAAAAACAAAAAACAAACAAGCAGUGAGAAAAAAACAAAAAUCCGAAUGCUCAACACUUGGCCAACGCACAUAAAUUGCAUUUUAGCCGCUGGCGAGGUAAACAGCCGCAAAUGCCACAAAAUGCGAGGGGUAAAAAUAAGCCAAAACUCAACAAUAAUCGAAAAAUUAUAUCCACACACACACACACACACACUCACAAGCACAAGCUGUGCAUAUAUGUGUCUGUGUGGGGGUAAAUCAAAGAAACAAAUAAAAUGGGCAAAUACAAGCAGAAAAUCCAUAGCACAGACACACACACACACAUACGCUCAGAGGAGGCUUGGGGGUAAAUUGGUAGAACGUUUUGAACAGCUCGAAUUAAGUUAAGCACUUUUAUUUAUUAUUAAAAAAGUUUCAAGCUGCCAGUGUGCAAAAAGCUCUGUGGGUAGAGAAACCAUCUACCAACAAAAUCUGCGCAUAAUGCAAAGAAAAUCCCAAAUUUAUCGUAUCACUUAGAUGGAGUGUCAUAUGGGUGGAUGAAAUGGUACAGACCGCCCUCCUUGCCACCGCCAAAGACGAAAAGGGGUUAAAAUGCGCAUUAUGAACACAUCGCAAGUGCAAGUAUGUCCGUAUGCAUGUGUGUGUGCUAUGUUUGUGCAUUCAUAAUAUAACUGUUGAUUAUUGCGCCAACACGCACUCAGUGUAAGUGAAGCAGCAGCAACGGCAUCAUCCGAGGAACUUCUGACUGAAGCGCACAGCGCGUAUGCUCAAUAUUAUUAGAUAUUGAAAGCAGCCAUCGAUGGCAACGUCGGCAAAGUCGUGUGCCAGAAGCAAUUGAAAGCAGCAGCAAUACCAGCAUAUGAAUUUUUUUCUAGCCCUCUGUCACAGCUUCAACACAAAGCGUGAACAUCUAUAAAAUGAAUAUUGCAAGCGGGCGUGCUUAACACAGCGAAUACCCCGCAAAUAUAAAUGUGCUUUUAGAUCUUAAACAAAAAAAAAUCAAUUUAUAUUUCAGUUUUUGCAUGUUUGUCACACACAUGAGAGUUCACACACAACAUUUUUCAACAGUAGUCCUUAAAGUCUCAGAGAUCAGGAAUAUAUAUAAAUCUGCCCGAAGAUUAGUAUUUAAGCUGUUAUUGUAUAUCGAAAUGAAAUAUGCAUUAAGGCAGCACUUGUUGAAACCAGUUGCCCACUCACCUUUUGAGUACAGGGUAUAAAAGCACAUGGAGGCGUGGCAUAUCGUGCCGUGCAGAAGAGUUGGGCGCUGGCUCUAAGUGGACGCAUCUGAAGCCUUGAUGCUGGCGUCGGCAUCUGCUGCUGUCGCUCUGGCGCUGUACUAAAUCGAUGGCAAUGUGCUAAAUUGUGGCGUAUUAUUUAUUAGUUUAAUGGCUUUAAAUUGCAAUUGCUGGCAGCUGGUCGAUUUUGCCUUGGUGGGGGGCUUCAUAUUGUGCUUUAAGUGCUAAAUAGUGUUGCUAAGGUAAUUGGAAUUCCAAUAAUCAACGCAAGAAGCUCAAGAAAAUCUGAGUAGACUUUAAAAAUAUGUGUAUAUAUGCUUAUAACCAACUAGCGGAUGUUUCCCGGUAUUACACGUAUCAAUAUUUGUGCUUCUACCCACACUAUCUUGGGUAGUCUAAAGUAAUAUCUUACAUAGACAUUUAAAAAUAAUUUUAAAGACUAUCGAAUAAAGAACCAAACGUUGAAACCAAUGGUUUUCGCCCAUCCAUCCAGAAACGUGAACUUUUUCCAGGAACGUAUCAAAUGAAAUUUUGUUGAUUCAAAAGUGAGCAUUUGCACGAGGUUUUACUAAAUUCGACCCGCAAGUGGAAAUAUUGCUGGUCAAAGCUUGUAUAAAAACCACAAAAACUUGCAGUCAUGAGACUGUAUGGUAUGGUUAAGAUUAAGCAUCGGCCUAAAAAGAGAGAGGUCAUCGGUUCAAUUCUAGCAAAAAAUGUCUAGUUUAAAAUUUGUUUGGUUUGUGAUUAUAAGGAACGAAAGGCAAUAAUAAUAAAUAAAAUGAAUAAAAAAAAAAGAAAGUUAACAAAGGCGUUAAAGCGUGUUUCAUAUAUUUUUCUUCACCCUCUUUAUGAAAUUGUUGGACUACAUGAAAUUUGGUCACCAUCCGUCGCGUAGGUUAGAGCUGAAUUGAAAGAAGGCCAUAUCGGCAAAAUAAAUUGUACAGCUGAGUUAAGGUAUUUUGUGUUAGAAGCAGGUGGUGUAGUGUG
Molecule: long non-coding RNA, 2508 nt
Organism: Drosophila montana
Lineage: Eukaryota; Metazoa; Arthropoda; Insecta; Diptera; Drosophilidae
Exons: 3
Source: RefSeq, a predicted model, not a curated record